UGGUGGAGUGAUUUGUCUGCCUAAUCGCGAUAACGAACGAGACCUUGACCACUAAAUAGCCCGUACUGCCUCGGCAGCUCGCCGGCUUCUUAGUGGGACUAUCGGCUCAAGCCGAUGGAAGUUCGAGGCAAUAACA
This 136-nucleotide ribosomal RNA is filed under the name uncultured eukaryote. RNAcentral's name for it is "partial 18S ribosomal RNA". It matches the Rfam family "Eukaryotic small subunit ribosomal RNA", at positions 1299 to 1458 of the family's 1831-position model. The record is from RNAcentral.